AACAUCGCGCACCUGCGGGAACCUGCGGAGGGAUCAUUACAGAGUUGCAAAACUCCCUAAACCAUUGUGAACGUUACCUAAACCGUUGCUUCGGCGGGCGGCCCGGGUCCUUCCCGGCGCCCAUCGGCCCUCGCGGGCGCCCGCCGGAGGUAAACCAAACUAUUGCAUUGUAUGGCCUCUCUGAGUCUUCCGUACUGAAUAAGUCAAAACUUUCAACAAUGGAUCUCAGAUCGGAAGAGC
RNAcentral lists this unclassified non-coding RNA (240 nucleotides) under soil metagenome. RNAcentral's name for it is "partial contains 5.8S ribosomal RNA, internal transcribed spacer 2, and large subunit ribosomal RNA". The record is from RNAcentral.